AGAGUUUGAUCCUGGCUCAGGAUGAACGCUAGCGGCAGGCUUAAUACAUGCAAGUCGAACGGUUACAGCAAUGUGACGAGUGGCGCACGGGUGAGUAACGCGUACAUAACAUACCUUUAACUGGCGAAUAGCCUUGGGAAACUGAGAGUAAUACGCCAUAACAUUGUAGCUUGGCAUCAGGCAGCAAUUAAAGUUCCGGCGGUUAGAGAUUGAUGUGCGUUGGAUUAGAUAGUUGGUGAGGUAACGGCUCACCAAGUCAACGAUCCAUAGGGGGCGUGAGAGCGUGGUCCCCCACACGGGUACUGAGACACGGACCCGACUCCUACGGGAGGCAGCAGUAAGGAAUAUUGGUCAAUGGGGGCAACCCUGAACCAGCCAUGCCGCGUACGGGAUGAAGGCGUUCUGCGUCGUAAACCGCUUUUAGAGGGGAAUAAAUCCCGAUACGUGUAUCGGACUGAAGGUACCCUCGGAAUAAGCACCGGCUAACUCCGUGCCAGCAGCCGCGGUAAUACGGAGGGUGCAAGCGUUAUCCGGAAUCACUGGGUUUAAAGGGUGCGUAGGCGGUUUUGUAAGUCGGUAUUGAA
This 584-nucleotide ribosomal RNA is filed under the name uncultured bacterium. Its description in RNAcentral is "bacterial SSU rRNA". It matches the Rfam family "Bacterial small subunit ribosomal RNA", at positions 8 to 598 of the family's 1533-position model. The record is from RNAcentral.